CCAAUUCGAUCCUGCUUCGGUUCCCGCCGAUUCCGGCGGGUGAAAAGGGAAUCCGGUGCGCCCCUUUGGGGCCAAUCCGGAGCUGCCCCCGCAACUGUAAGCGGUGAGCGACGGUCAAGGAUGCCACUGGGGCGCAAACCCCGGGAAGGCAGACCCGAGCGAUGAUCCGCCAGCCAGGAGACCUGCCGCGGCGUUCACCCAUUU
RNAcentral lists this non-coding RNA (204 nucleotides) under Paracoccus aminovorans. Lineage: Bacteria; Pseudomonadati; Pseudomonadota; Alphaproteobacteria; Rhodobacterales; Paracoccaceae. The record is from RNAcentral.